This 7161-nucleotide long non-coding RNA is filed under the name Zea mays. RNAcentral's name for it is "long non-coding RNA (ZMAY_LNC000390)". The record is from RNAcentral. Lineage: Eukaryota; Viridiplantae; Streptophyta; Magnoliopsida; Poales; Poaceae.
GCGAAGAUGCCGUGAUGAACACCUUCCACGGCGAGGUAUGGCCCGUGGCGAAUCCACUGGGUCAGGUGAGGGCUCCCGGUGUCCUCCCUGUUCCCCCGCGGCCACCAGUACGCGCUCGGUACGGUCUUGCGCGCGCACCGGUCUGCGUCCAGGAUACCGAGAUGAAGCACACGCCCCCAAAUCCAUUGGCGCCCGUGAUUCCUUCUCAUCUCCACGAACUCGUCAAUGGCGACCACUCAUCACCCCGGUUUGCGCGACUGUGCACAACGCAGCAUGGCUAGAUGAGAAUAGCUGCGAGAUGGGAUAGCGGCACCCGAUACUUAAACCUGCGAGGGCACCGCAACGGCCCGAGAAGAGGGGGAAAUCUGGUCAGCAGAGCGCGCGAUGCGCACGGCGUCUAUUACGGGUAACCAGCGAAGGAGAAGGAGCUGACCGGGGGCCCCGCUGUUCAGUGCGAUGGAUUUAUGGUCAAGGACUGUCGCACCGGACCACCGGUCAUCGGAAAAGCGGGCACGGUUGGAGACUGACGUCUGGGCCCACACGGCGAAGCACGCAGCGAAGCCCGUGGUGGACGAUUGAGGCAGACGGCUGCAGUUGGGGCCCACACGUCGGUGACUGGCGCACGGUUUAGAGAAUUGGGCUGCGUAGAGGAGUUCACAGGGUGGGCUGAAUUGCAAGCCAAAGGCCCAGCUAAGUUAAUUACCCCUUUUCUUUUAUUCUAUUGGAAUUUCCAUUUACAAAUUUGAAUUUGGUUUUCAAUUCCCAAAUCCAAUUGAAAUUCAAAGUUCACGGCAAAUUUGUCUUCACAUUUAUAUGCUCAAUUCCUCUACACAUAGUAUGGAUAAAUUUAUUUAUUUCUCCAUUUAUUCUAUUUUGCAUAAUAUUUCCUUUCUCUAACUCAAACCCUAAUUCUCUAUUUAGGAUUCCAAUUUCCUCUCAUUAUUAUAUUUCUUUUAUUAUUAUUAUUAUAUUGUCACAAAUAAUGCACACAAAAUAAAAUUUCAUCAUGAUGCAAUGAUUUAGUGGUAUACAUAUUUUAUAAUUAUCUGUUUUAAAAUAUGGUGUUCACAUGUGAUGGCACAAAAAGUUCAAACUCCCACAUAGAUAAAGUGAACUUGUUUCUCCCUUUGAUAUUAGCUCUUGCAAAUUACAAAUCGGGUAUUACAAAUCCUACCCCCCUUAAAAAGAAUCUCAUCCUCGAGAUUUAAGAAGGUCUAGUGAAAAGGUGGGGAAAAUAUAUGCGGAGUUCUUCUUCUCUUUCCCAAGUUACUUCAUCCUCUCCAUGGUGACUCCAUUGCACUUUGCACAUCUUUGUCACCUUAUUUCUUGUAACUCAAGUUAAUGUAUCCAGAAUCUUGAUAGGUUACUCCGUGUAAGUCAAAUCCUCCUGAACACUGAGCUCGUCCAUUGGUAGCUGUUCCUCAGGGACACGGAGACACUUCUUAAGUUGAGACACAUGAAAUACAUUAUGCACAUCAGAUAGAUUAUCAGGUAGCUCGAGUUGAUAGGCCAUCUCUCCAACUUGCCUAAAAACUCAGAACGGUCCAAUAUAGCGAGGGGACAAUUUUCCCUGAUUAUACAGACCUGUUCUUCUGCCUAUUGAAUAAGUUUGGGUCCAAAGAACUGUCUUCCUCUAGUCUGGUCCAAUAUAGAGGAAUCCUGCAUUUCCUGCCAUAUAGAGCCUCGAACGGUGACAUCUUCAGACUGGCCUGGUAACUAUUAUGAGAACACAGCAUAAGGUAGACUCUUGUCCCAACUACUACCAUGCUGAAGGACAUAAGCUCUCAACAUGUCCUCCAAUACUUGAUUAGUCCUUUUAGUCUGUCCAUCAGUCUGAGGAUGGUAGGCCAAACCAAAAUUCAACUUCAAAUCCAUAUUCUCACGACAACUUUUCCAAAAUCUGGAGGUAAAUUGUGAUCCUCUAUCCAAAAUGAUCUUCUUCGGUACACCAUGUAGAGACACAAUCCGAGCCAUAUAUAACUCAGCCAGUUGAGAUCACUUAUAAGUAGUCUUGAAAGAAAUGAAGUGAGCUAUUUUAGUCAAUCUAUCCAUAAUAACCCAUAUAGCAUCAUAUCCUUUCUGGGUGCGAGGCAAUCCAGUAAUGAAAUCCAUACCAAUCUCUUCCCACUUCCACUCGGGUAGCUUUAAUGGGUGUAGUAGUCUAGCUGGCCUCUGGUGUUCAGCCUUAACUCUUCGACCCACAUCGCACAUUGCCAUAUGUGCAGCCACAUCUCUCUUCAAUCCAUACCACCAGUAUUUCUGCUUCAAAUCCCGAUACAUCUUAGUGCUACCAAGAUGAAUACAAUAAUCCGAGUCAUGGCCUCCUUCAAUAUGGUUUCCCAAAGACUAUCAAUAUCGGGAACACAGAUCCGAUUCUUGAACCAUAUCGUGCCUUGCUCAUCCUCUGUGAAUUCCGGGCCUCUACCCUUCAGUAAUCAGAUCCUUCAUCUCUUGUAUCUUAGCAUCACCAAUUUGUCCUUUGCGGAUCUCUUGCUCCAAAAUAGGUUCCACAUCAAUAGUAACUCCUUCAGUGUGAGCAACUAUCCCCAGGUUAAGUCUCCUAAAAUCCUCAACAAUCUCAUCGGGUAGCUGGGCAACAACAACUGAAUGAACAUGCUCCUUUCGACUCAAGGCAUCUGCAACCAAAUUUGCCUUGCCCGGGUGAUAGUGAAUCUCCAAAUCAUAAUCCUUAAUAAGCUCCAACCAAUGGCGUUGCCUAAGGUUGAGAUCCUUCUGAGUGAAUAUAUACUUUAAAUACUUAUGAUCCGUAUACACUUGUCACUUGGUUCCAAUAUUAUAAUGUCUCCAAAUCUUAAGCGCAUGCACAACGGUUGCCAGUUCUAAGUCAUGAGUGGGGUAGUUCAACUCAUGUUUCCGUAACUGACGAGACGAGUAGACGAUCACAUGUCCUUCUUGCAUGAGCACACAUCCCAAUCCUUGGCUACAUGCAUCACAAUAAAUGUCAAAUCCCUUCUGCAGAUCUGGCAUAAUUAAUACUGGUGGUGACAUCAAUCUCUUCUUCAAUUAAUCGAAGCUGUCUUGGCAUUUCUCAUCCCACUAAUUCUCUUCCUUUCUCCAGAAGCGAGGUCAUAGGCUAGGCAAUCUUAGAGAACCCUUCAAUAAAUCUCCGAUAAUAUCCUACAAGCCCCAAGAAACUCCGAAUCUCAGUGACGGUAGUGGGCACGCUCCAUUCCAUUAUCUCCUUCACUUUAGCAGGAUCCACUGCUAUUCCUCCAUUAGAAAUAAUAUGACCAAGGAAUGGCACCUUGUCAAUCCAAAACUCGCACUUGCUAAACUUGGCAUAGAGUUGAUUAUCUCGUAGCUUCUGUAGCACCAAUCUCAGGUGUUCCUCAUGAUCACUUUCACUCUUAGAAUAGAUAAGAAUAUCGUCCAUAAAUACUACGACGAAUCUGUCCAAAUACUCCAUAAACACCUUAUUCAUCAAAUCCAUAAAAUAAGCUGGUGCAUUAGCUAAUCCAAACGACAUAACAGAGAACUCAUAUAAUCCAUAUCGAGUCGAGUAAGAUGUCUUGGGAAUAUCCGAUGACCUAAUCUUCAUUUGAUGAUAACCCGAUCGGAGAUCAAUCUUCGAGAAUACCCUUGCACCUCUUGUCUGUAUAAAUCCUCAAUGCGGGGUAAUGGACACUUGUUCUUCACAGUGACGUCGUUAAGGGACCUGUAAUCCACGUACACUCCUUGCGAUCCUUCUUUCUUCUGUACAAUUAGAAUCGACGCUCCAUAAGGUGAAGAAUUCGGAGGAAUGUACCCAGCCUCUUGCAACUCUGUUAAGUGCUUCUUUAGUUCUUUUAACUCUUCUACAGACAUUUUAUGUGUCCAUUUAGAAAUAGGAGCAAUUCCAGGUAAGAGAUCUAUGACAAACUCAACUUCCCUAUAUGGUGGCAUCCCUGGUAACUCUUCUGGAUAGACAUCCAGAAAAUCUCUAACUGCACGGAUGUUGUCACCCACAAACUUCUCAUCUACUAAGAUUGCCGCUAGUCUGAUGGUGGUAGUUACUGCAACUUCAACUUCAAAUCUUUGUCCUUUGGAACUGGUGAGUUCUACGGUUCCCUUAGCACGGUGUAUAUACUGCCUUUGCCUUUAUUAACCAUGAUAUACCAAGGAUCAUGUCUAUAGUGCUCUCUUCUAACACUAUAGGGGUAGCCCAUCUGGGUUAGAAACACAGGGGACGAAAGAAAGAAUUGUAGACAAGGCGAGUAAUUACGAGAAAUGUUACUGCGGGGGAUUUAUUAGCUAAGUAGAUUAGUGUGUUACCUACUAAAGCUAAUAUAUUACCUUAUGGUGGUACAUGCUAAGAUGCCCAACUAUAAUUUUUCAAUCAAUCAAAGAAGCAAAUCAGGCAUUGAUCAUCAGAACAAUCAACCAACAUUUUUUUAAAAAAUAGAGAAAAUAGUUUUAAUUUUGUCUUAGGUCUCCUAUCUCUUAAAAAGUUCAUAAAUGUAGGAUUCCAAGGUGUGAAAUUCAUCUUGUCUCAGAGUAGAAAAGGUAAGAAUGAUCAGAGUAGAACAGUAGAAGGUGAGACAGGAUCAAGGUAAGUAUAGAAAGAGUCAGAGUAAGGUAAGUAUAGGAUGAAUCAGAAUGAGAUAAGUAGGUAAGGGUUGUUCAUUUCUAUCUAGGUUUCGUCCUACAGUCAACAUUUCCUCUGAUACCACUUCUGUCACACCCGGUUUUAAAGGACAAAGCCGGGUGCAUCUCAUACAUGCGCCAAGAAGACAACAUAUAUAAUAACAGAGUGUAUAGAGAUAAAUGUCAUAAAACAUCAGAGUAUUUAUUACAUAGCGGAAGACUUAUUACAAAAUAAAAGAAUAAAUAUAAAACGAACUAAGGAUCGUUGGCGCCAAUGUCGACUGAGAAACGCCACCUAGAUCAGAUCAAACUCCUCGCCUUGUAGCUCCUCCUGAACCACCUGCUCUUCUCCUGUGGGGGGGGGUGUGAGACAGCAAGAGUGAGCUCACAUACGUUCAUCGCUCAACAAGUCGUGGGGAAUAAUGUGGCAUGAACUCACCAAAGGUGGGAGUUCAUGAAGUGUAAGGCUGAUCAAUGAAAUAGAGGCUGAAGCUGAGCAUUGCUUUUAUAAGUUGGUCAAAAUUUUAUUAGCAAUUACUAAGUGUAAGUAAAUACCAAACCUUAAUAAUAAUAAAUAAAGUAAUAGUAAAAUAAUCCCAAAUGCGAUGCAAAUGUCAAAUUGAAUUUAAGUUCCAUAAUUAAUCAUGUGAGGGUCCGAGCCGCUCAUGACCGUGAGCACGGCUAGUAUACCAGUUUUACACUCUGCAGAGGUUGCGCAUCUUUACCCACAAGUCAUGUUACCCAUCUGCCAAGAGAUGGCCAAUCCCAUACACCUCUACCGAGGAGGCGAGGCAGGGUAACACUACGAGGCCUUUACAAAGUUCCACUAGCUUCAGAAAUCCCGCUACAGUUUAUAGGAAGCUCCAAUACAGGGUUCUUGCCUGACCGCCAUCGCAGCAAAAUCAACCCAAGGACCUCCCUACACUGACCACUCCCCUACUGCCCUUGCCCCUUUCGGGUAAGGAAGACCUCCACUAGCUUUCCUAGUUAAUCAGCCAAGGGCGUCCCAUUAUACCCUUGUGGUAGCACUGUUUUCCCGGGUGGUCGCUCCAUGUUCCCAUUAAUUUAAUGAUCUUAACAUGAACAGUAAUAAUAACAAGAUAAUAACAGGAUAAUCAUGUGUAGUAUAACUCCAUACCCAAUCCACAUAAAGCAAUAGCAAGUACUACCCAAAAAUAUUUCAGGGGUGAACAAGGUAUAGAGGUAAUCAAAACUGGGGUAACAUAAAGGAUCCCAUCAAAAUUAACCUAUGCAGAUCAUUAAAAUUAAUAAGAACAUGGCUGGGAAAAGUAAGUGAUCAAGGGCACAACUUGCCUUCAAUGAGCUCCUGCUCAGCUAUCUCUACUUGCUGAACCUCAGAUUCCACAGUGGCUUGCUCGUCUACUCGCAUCAACACAAUACAUACAUAGUAUAGCACCAAUUAACAUUGCACCAAACAUGUGAAUAAAAUACACAAUAAAAUUUUACGCAUUAAAAUAAGAACCUAGGAACAGGAAUCAUAAUUUUUAGAGUUAUAGAUUUUAAGUUAUGAAUUUCCUAAGGUUUAAUGUGCUUGAGAUAGGAUUAAAUGAUAAAUUAAUUUUCUUACUGUUUUCAUGCCAAAACAGAGGCACUAAAUGAUAGAGGAUAUUAUUAAAAAAUUUUAGAAAUAUGGCUCAAUUUGGAGCUAUAAUGAAUUUAAUAUGAUUUAUCCAAGUUUCUGGAAUUGUUUUUAUACUAAAAACCUAUUUUCUUUAUUAUUCCUGAAUUUCCUAAGAGUUCUGGACCACAGACAUAAUUAACAGAGAGUUCGGGGCUUAAACUACAAAUUCCAGGGCUCGGUUCUAAUUAUUUAACACUGUGCGCGGAUGGCGGGUUCAUUUGAAAAGAGUCCGAGGGCUCUUUUGCAAAAGUCCCAGGACGAAGGGGUAUGGGGGAUCUCUGGCCGCAAGAUCGACAACGGACGGCUACGAUUAGAUCUGGCCUAUUAUGAAACGUUACGCGACGACGUCCCUCGGAUCAGAGACCAACGGUGUGGAUUUAAAAAAAAUGACCGCGGCAGGUUCACGUCCGUCCGAUAGCAUCCGACGGCUUAGAACCAAUGCGCGAAGCGGUACGACCGCUGCCCUAAUCUGCACCGUCGACCCGUCAAUCAACGGCAACGGCAAUUUGCCCCCAGGCUUCUUCAACCUCACGACGCGGCUAGAGCUACGUGUCGAAGCCCGCGUUGCCACUUCCUCACCGGAGCAACGCGAGCCCACCCCCAGGUGACCCAAUCACGAACCUAACCGGUGAUAGUGCAUAAGUAAGGAUGACGGUACGAAGGGGGCCACUUACUGGCGAAGAUGCCGUGAUGAACACCUUCCACGGCGAGGUAUGGCCCGUGGCGAAUCCACUGGGUCAGGUGAGGGCUCCCGGUGUCCUCCCUGUUCCCCCGCGGCCACCAGUACGCGCUCGGUACGGUCUUGCGCGCGCACCGGUCUGCGUCCAGGAUACCGAGAUGAAGCACACGCCCCCAAAUCCAUUGGCGCCCGUGAUUCCUUCUCAUCUCCACGAACUCGUCAAUGGCGACCACUCAUCACCCCGGUUUGCGCGACU